Molecule: long non-coding RNA, 825 nt
Filed under: Mytilus galloprovincialis (Mediterranean mussel)
Lineage: Eukaryota; Metazoa; Mollusca; Bivalvia; Mytilida; Mytilidae
Source: RNAcentral
AAUCAUUGCCUCAACUCUGGUGAUUCGCGUAAAAAUAACACACAUCCCCCGAGUUUAAUAACAGUAAAGUGAAAGUUAAAAAAAAAGAAAUAGACUAUAGGUUCUCGUGAUAUAAAUAGACAGUCUAACAAACAACUCAGGUCUCCGUUUCAAUCAGAUAUUACAUAGAGUAUGCUGUUUUUAUUUGGCGUAGAUGUGUCUUUAUUACUUUUAACAAUCCAAAGUAAUAAAUAUCAAACGUACACGUCUUCUUUGGUGCUAGGGCUGCCAUACUUUUUGCGAUGUUUGUUUACAUUUUGGGCAACACAAAUGCCUUUCAUUUUAACGGAAUUACACAAAUCGUCAAAUGAGAAAACGUUACAAAGUAUUUCACAACGUUGUUCCGUAAAAAGUAUCAACAUCUAUAGUUUGCCUGGUUCGCGCUAUGCAUUAGAAAGCCAGAUCAAGCUAAAAUUUUGGGAUCAUUUCAACGAAGUUCUCAAGUAUGUUCUCUGAAAAGCUUCAAUUUAUUUACGUACGUUUUCAAGAGAAAGAUAAAAUUUUACAUUAUAAACGUACAGGGCUAAUGUAUUUACCUACCGAACGAUCAGAGCAUCUGAUAGGACAAACUCUGAAACUUUUCCAUCACAAUGAGACUUCUGCUAUAAAUAUCCGUUGUUUAUAGUUGGCGCGCCAGCUUAAUAAAAUAAAGUCUGUUCCGAUAAAAUAAACGAAAAACGUCGUCUAAAAAUUACCGCAAAAAUUCAAUUAUUGUAUAUCAAUAAAUAUAAUACCAUGUAAAAAUUCUUUAAAUAUUCAUUUAUUUUUGCAUCUAAUUUAUUUCUU